GAUGAACGCUGGCGGCGUGCUUAACACAUGCAAGUCGAACGGAAAGGCCAGUUCUUGCACUGGUACUCGAGUGGCGAACGGGUGAGUAACACGUGGGUGAUCUGCCCUGUACUUCGGGAUAAGCGUGGGAAACUGGGUCUAAUACCGGAUAGGACAACUUCUUGGAUAUUGUUGUGGAAAGCUUUUGCGGUAUGGGAUGAGCUCGCGGCCUAUCAGCUUGUUGGUGGGGUAAUGGCCUACCAAGGCGUCGACGGGUAGCCGGCCUGAGAGGGUGUACGGCCACAUUGGGACUGGAAUACGGCCCAGACUCCUACGGGAGGAAGCAGUGGGGAAUAUUGCACAAUGGGGGCAAGCCUGAUGCAGAGCCGCCGCGUGGGGGAUGAAGGCCUUCGGGUUGUAAACUCCUUUCGCUAGGGACGAAGCGCAAGUGACGGUACCUGGAGAAGAAGCACCGGCUAACUACGUG
RNAcentral lists this ribosomal RNA (466 nucleotides) under uncultured bacterium. RNAcentral describes it as "partial 16S ribosomal RNA". It matches the Rfam family "Bacterial small subunit ribosomal RNA", at positions 28 to 507 of the family's 1533-position model. The record is from RNAcentral.